Non-coding RNA from Vicia faba (fava bean), 360 nucleotides. NCBI's taxonomy places the organism in Eukaryota, Viridiplantae, Streptophyta, Magnoliopsida, Fabales, Fabaceae. The record is from the annotation of a GenBank genome assembly.
AUGCUUAAUCGAACCAGUCGAAAACAAACCCCACCACAUUCGAUUUCGGAGCCACAACGACCGCUACCUAACCGCCACAGACACGCCGUUUCUCCUCGGCAUGAUCGGAGACAAAGUCAUUCAAGCCUAAUACGACAAAGGUUUAAGCUGGAAAUACGAAUGGGAGCCGAUAAAGGAAGGGCUGUGGAUAAUAAGAUGAAUGUUGAGUUGUUGAAUAGAGUUAGUUUUGUUUCGAAUUCUUCUUUUGGUUCUGAGGAAGAUAAACUUCGCGAUUCUGAAUCCAUUUCUUCUCAGAAGAAGCCUUGGUCUUCGUUGAAGAUUCGUCGGAAUUCAAAGUUGCAGCCAGAGGUGCGUGUUUAA